Molecule: ribosomal RNA, 497 nt
Filed under: uncultured bacterium
Lineage: Bacteria
Description: partial 16S ribosomal RNA
Rfam family: Bacterial small subunit ribosomal RNA
Source: RNAcentral
GAUGAACGCUGGCGGCGUGCCUAAUACAUGCAAGUCGAGCGAACAGACGAGGAGCUUGCUCCUCUGACGUUAGCGGCGGACGGGUGAGUAACACGUGGAUAACCUACCUAUAAGACUGGGAUAACUUCGGGAAACCGGAGCUAAUACCGGAUAAUAUAUUGAACCGCAUGGUUCAAUAGUGAAAGACGGUUUUGCUGUCACUUAUAGAUGGAUCCGCGCCGCAUUAGCUAGUUGGUAAGGUAACGGCUUACCAAGGCAACGAUGCGUAGCCGACCUGAGAGGGUGAUCGGCCACACUGGAACUCAGACACGGUCCAGACUCCUACGGGAGGCAGCAGUAGGGAAUCUUCCGCAAUGGGCGAAAGCUUGACGGAGCAACGCCGCGUGAGUGAUGAAGGUCUUCGGAUCGUAAAACUCUGUUAUUAGGGAAGAACAAAUGUGUAAGUAACUAUGCACGUCUUGACGGUACCUAAUCAGAAAGCCACGGCUAACUACGUG